CGUCCUCGAUCUGCUGCGGACAGAUAUAGUGGAUAUGGCUGUCGAAGCCGCCGGCGGUGACGAUCUUGCCCUCACCGGCGAUGACCUCGGUGCCCGGGCCGACGAUGAUGGUCUCGGCCGGGUCGAAAUUGCCGAAGCCGCCCUGGAUGUCCGGGUUACCAGCCUUGCCGAUGGCGCAGAUGCGCCCUGCCCUGAUGCCGAUAUCGGCCUUCACGAUACCCCAAUGGUCGAGGAUCAGCGCGUUGGUGAUGACGGUGUCGACGGCGCCGUCGGCGUUGCGGACCUGGCUCUGGCCCAUGCCGUCGCGGAUG
Molecule: small RNA, 311 nt
Rfam family: 5' ureB small RNA
Source: Rfam